Molecule: unclassified non-coding RNA, 432 nt
Filed under: soil metagenome
Description: partial contains 5.8S ribosomal RNA, internal transcribed spacer 2, and large subunit ribosomal RNA
Rfam family: 5.8S ribosomal RNA (bases 1-120)
Source: RNAcentral
GAUGAAGAACGUAGCGAAAUGCGAUACGUAAUGUGAAUUGCAGAAUUCAGUGAAUCAUCGAAUCUUUGAACGCAUAUUGCGCUCUCUGGUAUUCCGGAGAGCAUGCUUGUUUGAGUAUCAGUAAACACCUCAACUUCCAUAUCUUUUUUGAAAUGGGAGUUGGACUUGAGUGAUCCCAACGCUUUUCCUCACCGAAAAGUGGCGGGUUACUUGAAAUGCAGGUGCAGCUGGACUUUUCUCUGAGCUAUAAGCAUAUCUAUUUAGUCUGCCUAAAAAACAGAUUAUUACCUUUGCUGCAGCUAACAUAAAGGAGAUUAGUUCUUGUGCUGACUGAUGCAGGAUUCACAAAGACGGCUUCGGCCGACUUUGUAAACUCGAUCUCAAAUCAAGUAAGACUACCCGCUGAACUUAAGCAUAGCAAUAAGCGGAGGA